Molecule: ribosomal RNA, 253 nt
Filed under: uncultured bacterium
Lineage: Bacteria
Description: partial 16S ribosomal RNA
Rfam family: Bacterial small subunit ribosomal RNA
Source: RNAcentral
UACGUAGGGUGCAAGCGUUAAUCGGAAUUACUGGGCGUAAAGCGUGCGCAGGCGGUUUUGUAAGUCUGACGUGAAAUCCCCGGGCUCAACCUGGGAAUUGCGUUAGAGACUGCAAGGCUAGAAUCUGGCAGAGGGGGGUAGAAUUCCACGUGUAGCAGUGAAAUGCGUAGAGAUGUGGAGGAACACCGAUGGCGAAGGCAGCCCCCUGGGUCAAGAUUGACGCUCAUGCACGAAAGCGUGGGGAGCAAACAGG